RNAcentral lists this long non-coding RNA (877 nucleotides) under Trifolium pratense (red clover). Its description in RNAcentral is "long non-coding RNA (TPRA_LNC005819)". Lineage: Eukaryota; Viridiplantae; Streptophyta; Magnoliopsida; Fabales; Fabaceae. The record is from RNAcentral.
CAUGCAUUCAAUUAUGAAAAUUAGAAUCACAAUUCAUUAGAUAUGGUACAAAAUGACUUUCAUAUGUCUAAAGUCAUAAGGUUUUGUUUGAUUUUGUUCCUUUUCUAUUGGUCUUUUGUCUAUUUAACACUAUUUUGUAUAGCUUUCUUUUAGCUUUUAGCUUGAAUCUCAUCUUUUAAAUAUAAGUAAACAUAAUUUAUAGUAACAUCAGCACUGGUAUUUGGAUAUAAUAGGUGAAUGAGAGGUUAUGGAAACGUGUUGGUAGUUAGUGGCUCAAUGUAUAAUAUUUGGAUAGUUACUAUCUAAAUAAGCAUCAAUAAAGGGCACUACUGAGCGAACAAAUCAGCACUAGUAGAAGACAACCAAAAUACUUGAAAAGGUUAGAUGUGAUUCAAAAAUCUCAAGGAAACAAUCAGCAAGGAAUCGAACCGGUCUAACAGACCAACCAAACAUCACACCAGAAAAAAAAAAUCAAACAAAAUAUACCUAAGAAAAUCAUAGAUUCAAAGAUCUUCACAAACCACAAAUUCUAAAAAAUUCCCACAAACCCUAAAAAAUAAAGAACAUAAACAAAAAACCCAAAAAGAAAGAUAAGAAAUCAUAGCAGAAGAAAAUAAGAACGAGGGAUUUGAGAGAGAAAGAUAAAGGUACCGAGUCAAUGCAGAAACGAAGAGAACGAUUGAGCAGGGCGAACAACUUGAAGAAUCAGCGAGAGAUGCGUUCACAAUUGAGAGUCGAUAGGUUAGGAAUUACGUGAGUUGAGAGAGAUCGAGUGGAAAAGAUCGUAUUCAGAGAUGUUCAUUUGAGCUUUAGGGUUUUAUUUUCUUGUUCCCCUUUUAAAUUUGAGUUCUUAAAAUAUAUUAAUGUUUGUUUGUAG